This 89-nucleotide transfer RNA is filed under the name Blastocladiella emersonii. RNAcentral describes it as "tRNA-Ser". It matches the Rfam family "tRNA". From Rfam's summary of the family: Transfer RNA (tRNA) molecules are approximately 80 nucleotides in length. Their secondary structure includes four short double-helical elements and three loops (D, anti-codon, and T loops). The record is from RNAcentral. RNAcentral also lists the same sequence under 1 other name. Lineage: Eukaryota; Fungi; Blastocladiomycota; Blastocladiomycetes; Blastocladiales; Blastocladiaceae.
GGGUAGUUGGCUGAGUCCGGUUUAAAGCAUUGCUCUUGAAAAGCAACGAGGAGUCAAAUCCUCCGUGGGUUCAAAUCCCACACUGCCCU